This 644-nucleotide ribosomal RNA is filed under the name uncultured Erysipelotrichaceae bacterium. RNAcentral describes it as "bacterial SSU rRNA". It matches the Rfam family "Bacterial small subunit ribosomal RNA", at positions 28 to 666 of the family's 1533-position model. Lineage: Bacteria; Bacillati; Bacillota; Erysipelotrichia; Erysipelotrichales; Erysipelotrichaceae. The record is from RNAcentral.
GAUAAACGCUGGCGGCGUGCCUAAUACAUGCAAGUCGAUCGAUGGAUGCCCAGCUUGCUGGGAGGAAAUAGAGGCGAACGGGUGAGUAAUGCGUAAGCAACCUGCCCACGAAGACCGGGAUAAUCCCUGGAAACGGGGACUAAGACCGGAUAGGUAACAGAACCGCAUGAUUUUGUUAUUAAAGGUUAAAAACACUGGUGGAUGGGCUUACGGUGCAUUAGCUAGUUGGUGAGGUAACGGCCCACCAAGGCGAUGAUGCAUAGCUGGUCUGAGAGGAUGAACAGCCACAUUGGGACUGAGACACGGCCCAGACUCCUACGGGAGGCAGCAGUAGGGAAUUUUCGGCAAUGGGGGAAACCCUGACCGAGCAACGCCGCGUGAGUGAAGAAGGUCUUCGGAUUGUAAAGCUCUGUUGUAAGGGAAGAAAUGUACUUUGAGAAAAAGUACUUGACGGUACCUUACCAGAUAGCUACGGCUAACUACGUGCCAGCAGCCGCGGUAAUACGUAGGUAGCGAGCGUUAUCCGGAAUUAUUGGGCGUAAAGGGUGCGUAGGCGGCCAUUUAAGUUCAUGGUGAAAGCGUGGGGCUCAACCCCAUAGAGCCAUGGAUACUGGAUGGCUGGAGUACUGGAGAGGGUAGUGGAA